Molecule: ribosomal RNA, 328 nt
Filed under: uncultured eukaryote
Lineage: Eukaryota
Description: partial 18S ribosomal RNA
Rfam family: Eukaryotic small subunit ribosomal RNA
Source: RNAcentral
CCCUUAGAUGUUCUGGGCCGCACGCGCGCUACACUGACUACUUCAACGAGUUGUUUCCUUGAUCGAAAGGUCUGGGUAAUCUUUGAAAGGUAGCCGUGAUGGGGAUAGAUCCUUGCAAUUUUUGAUCUUCAACGAGGAAUUCCUAGUAAACGCAAGUCAUCAGCUUGCAUUGAUUACGUCCCUGCCCUUUGUACACACCGCCCGUCGCACCUACCGAUUGAAUGGUCCGGUGAAUCUUUAGGACUGUGGCUGAGGCCUUGCCUUGUGCGGGUCUGGCCGUGGGAAUUUAGUUAAACCUUACCAUUUAGAGGAAGGUGAAGUCGUAACA